RNAcentral lists this transfer RNA (76 nucleotides) under Elusimicrobia bacterium GWD2_63_28. RNAcentral describes it as "tRNA-Glu". It matches the Rfam family "tRNA". From Rfam's summary of the family: Transfer RNA (tRNA) molecules are approximately 80 nucleotides in length. Their secondary structure includes four short double-helical elements and three loops (D, anti-codon, and T loops). Further hydrogen bonds mediate the characteristic L-shaped molecular structure. tRNAs have two regions of fundamental functional importance: the anti-codon, which is responsible for specific mRNA codon recognition, and the 3' end, to which the tRNAs corresponding amino acid is attached (by aminoacyl-tRNA synthetases). tRNAs cope with the degeneracy of the genetic code in two manners: having more than one tRNA (with a specific anti-codon) for a particular amino acid; and 'wobble' base-pairing, i.e. permitting non-standard base-pairing at the 3rd anti-codon position. The record is from RNAcentral. Lineage: Bacteria; Pseudomonadati; Elusimicrobiota. RNAcentral also lists the same sequence under 3 other names.
GGCCCCUUCGUCUAGCGGUUAGGACGCCGCCCUCUCAAGGCGGAGAUCACGGGUUCGAAUCCCGUAGGGGCCGCCA